UAGGCUUGACAUGCAUAGGAAACCUGCCAGAGACGACAGCCAUGCAGCACCUGUGCACGGACUCCGAAGAGGGGCCGAUGUUUCCACCGGCUUUUCCCUACAUGUCAAGCCCAGGUAAGGUUCUUCGCGUUGCCUCGAAUUAAGCAACAUGCUCCGCUGCUUGUGCGGGCCCCCGUCAAUUCCUUUGAGUUUUAGCCUUGCGGCCGUACUCCCCAGGCGGGGCACUUAAUGCGUUAGCUACGGCACGGAAACCGUCGAUAGGUCCCCACACCUAGUGCCCAACGUUUACGGCGUGGACUAC
RNAcentral lists this unclassified non-coding RNA (301 nucleotides) under uncultured Acidimicrobiia bacterium. RNAcentral's name for it is "contains 16S-23S intergenic spacer region". Lineage: Bacteria; Bacillati; Actinomycetota; Acidimicrobiia. The record is from RNAcentral.